UCCCUCUCUCCCUCUUUACCAUUUCCAACAAAAUCCCCAAAUAACAAAAAAUCCCUAAUUCCCGUCGCUCAUCUCCAACACUCCGCCAGCCACCACCGCCGCUGUCUUCUCGGCGGAAUUCGCCGCUGCUGUCGCCGGGAGGACGCUGCUGUUGUCGCCGAUUCAUCCAGCCGCUGCCUCUAUUAGAAGCCGCUGCUCCGUCGUUGCCUCGCUCUUCGGUAUUGCUCGUCGUUGGCUGCACCAAUCGACCUGUUCGAGCAGCAGCUGUAGCCGUUUCCGAAUCUGCCGCUGCCACUGUUAUCUCCAUCGCGAACAACCGCUGCUGUCAGCACUGCACUCCGCAUCGCCGUCUCGCGGUUGGCUGCUGCUCGAGCAGUUAUGAGUUGCUGGUCGGUAGCUCCUCCGUCGCCCGACGCCGCUUGACUGUCGUACUACCCCGAACGUGUUCUAGCAGCCAUCGUUCAUCACCGAACCCACCCGAAACGUCCCGUAACCAACCCGAACAGCCGCGCACAACCCCGAAACAACCCGCAAGAUAAGUUCUCAUUCAAAGUUAUAUUCUUUUUGGCGUUUGGAUUUAAGGUGUUAGAUUAAUUUGUUUGAUCGGAUUACUUGUGGGAUUAAUGUGUGAUGAUAUGCUAUGAACGAUGUUAAAAGUUCAUGAUUCGGGAAAGGGAAAGAAAUUAUACCUAGCGAUGUAAACUUGGGUGUUGAAUUGAGGAAAAGAAUUGAUUGUGGAAGAUGGAAGGUGGAAGGUUACUUGAAAAUGGAGAGUCUCCAUGGAGUGGAGAAGUUGGCGUAGGAGAAGAGAGGAAAGGGUUUUGAGCUUGUACAAAAUUUUCUAUGAAUAAAUUGGGCCCAAAGACAUCUCUAACAACUUUAAUUAAAUUGUUUGGGCUCAUUUAGUUGGAGAGCCCAAAUUUGUAUAAUUAUUUAUUUGUUGGACUUUUUCGCUUGUCAUGGCCCAAAGCCAUUUUUAUAAAAAUAUUUGGACUCCAAUUUUAUUUGAGAAGACCAA
Long non-coding RNA from Salvia splendens (bonfire salvia), 1018 nucleotides. RefSeq lists it as uncharacterized. The record is from RefSeq and is a predicted model, not a curated record. The transcript is spliced from 2 exons. Lineage: Eukaryota; Viridiplantae; Streptophyta; Magnoliopsida; Lamiales; Lamiaceae.